Molecule: ribosomal RNA, 253 nt
Filed under: uncultured bacterium
Lineage: Bacteria
Description: partial 16S ribosomal RNA
Rfam family: Bacterial small subunit ribosomal RNA
Source: RNAcentral
UACGUAGGGUGCAAGCGUUGUCCGGAAUUAUUGGGCGUAAAGAGCUCGUAGGCGGUCUGUUGCGUCGGCUGUGAAAACCCAAGGCUCAACCUCGGGCCUGCAGCCGAUACGGGCAGACUAGAGUUCGGCAGGGGAGACUGGAAUUCCUGGUGUAGCGGUGAAAUGCGCAGAUAUCAGGAGGAACACCGGUGGCGAAGGCGGGUCUCUGGGCUGUAUCUGACGCUGAUGCGCGAAAGCUAGGGGAGCAAACGGG